GCAAGAACACUCAUGUGAAAUAGCUGCUUUCAAGAACAAAGUUAAUAAUUGCACAAAGAAAGGAUUGUUAAAGAAGCAUAAAAAUUUGGUAAGUUUCUUUUUAUUGUUGAUGCUUACAAAGAAGCUAAUAUGUAACUGAAGAAAAGGGCAAAUUAGACCAUAAAACUCAAAAAUAUAAUUUCUGACUCAAAGAAUGUCCUUAAAGAAAAUAGAAAUUGCUAUGCACUUCAUCUAUUGCAUAAA
RNAcentral lists this unclassified non-coding RNA (243 nucleotides) under Hevea brasiliensis (rubber tree). Lineage: Eukaryota; Viridiplantae; Streptophyta; Magnoliopsida; Malpighiales; Euphorbiaceae. The record is from RNAcentral.